This 364-nucleotide unclassified non-coding RNA is filed under the name fungal sp. Its description in RNAcentral is "partial internal transcribed spacer region". The stretch from base 1 to 46 matches the Rfam family "Eukaryotic small subunit ribosomal RNA", at positions 1786 to 1831 of the family's 1831-position model. The record is from RNAcentral. Lineage: Eukaryota; Fungi.
AAGUCGUAACAAGGUCUCCGUAGGUGAACCUGCGGAGGGAUCAUUAACACGUUUAUUUCACGUAAACGUUUUCCUACACAACUUUUUUUGGCAGUCUGUGAACGCGCAAAUUCUCAAAGUGGGCACGGGGGGGCCAUGGAAGGGAAUCGAAAAUUUUUGAUUCCGGCCAGUCUGCCAUCCCGCAUGUCCAUGACAGCGAAUUUGCUUUUUUUUUUUUCUAACCCCAAUCACACCGCAAUGCUAACACUCUGUUGGCAUUCGAAUUGACCAAACCAAAACCAUACUUGUUGAAUAAUUUCAUUUAUUCUCCAAGUGUUUAUCCAAACUAAAAGCACAACUCUUAGCAACGGAUAUCUUGGUUCUC